This 743-nucleotide ribosomal RNA is filed under the name uncultured bacterium. RNAcentral's name for it is "bacterial SSU rRNA". It matches the Rfam family "Bacterial small subunit ribosomal RNA", at positions 94 to 823 of the family's 1533-position model. The record is from RNAcentral.
AGCGGCGGAUGGGUGAGUAACACGUGGGGAACCUGCCCCUAAGUCUGGGAUACCAUUUGGAAACAGGCGCUAAUACCGGAUAAUAAAGCAGAUCGCAUGAUCAGCUUUUGAAAGGCGGCGUAAGCUGUCGCUAAGGGAUGGCCCCGCGGUGCAUUAGCUAGUUGGUAAGGUAACGGCUUACCAAGGCGACGAUGCAUAGCCGAGUUGAGAGUCUGAUCGGCCACAUUGGGACUGAGACACGGCCCAAACUCCUACGGGAGUCAGCAGUAGGGAAUCUUCCACAAUGGACGCAAGUCUGAUGGAGCAACGCCGCGUGAGUGAAGAAGGUUUUCGGAUCGUAAAGCUCUGUUGUUGGUGAAGAAGGAUAGAGGUAGUAACUGGCCUUUAUUUGACGGUAAUCAACCAGAAAGUCACGGCUAACUACGUGCCAGCAGCCGCGGUAAUACGUAGGUGGCAAGCGUUGUCCGGAUUUAUUGGGCGUAAAGCGAGCGCAGGCGGAAAAAUAAGUCUAAUGUGAAAGCCCUCGGCUUAACCGAGGAACUGCAUCGGAAACUGUUUUUCUUGAGUGCAGAAGAGGAGAGUGGAACUCCAUGUGUAGCGGUGGAAUGCGUAGAUAUAUGGAAGAACACCAGUGGCGAAGGCGGCUCUCUGGUCUGCAACUGACGCUGAGGCUCGAAAGCAUGGGUAGCGAACAGGAUUAGAUACCCUGGUAGUCCAUGCCGUAAACGAUGAGUGCUAAGUGU